This 465-nucleotide ribosomal RNA is filed under the name uncultured Klebsiella sp. Its description in RNAcentral is "bacterial SSU rRNA". It matches the Rfam family "Bacterial small subunit ribosomal RNA", at positions 338 to 795 of the family's 1533-position model. The record is from RNAcentral. Lineage: Bacteria; Pseudomonadati; Pseudomonadota; Gammaproteobacteria; Enterobacterales; Enterobacteriaceae.
CCUACGGGCGGCUGCAGUGGGGAAUAUUGCACAAUGGGCGCAAGCCUGAUGCAGCCUUGCCGCGUGUGUGAAGAAGGCCUUCGGGUUGUAAAGCACUUUCAGCGGGGAGGAAGGCGUUAAGGUUAAUAACCUUGGCGAUUGACGUUACCCGCAGAAGAAGCACCGGCUAACUCCGUGCCAGCAGCCGCGGUAAUACGGAGGGUGCAAGCGUUAACCGGAAUUACUGGGCGUAAAGCGCACGCAGGCGGUCUGUCAAGUCGGAUGUGAAAUCCCGGGGCUCAACCUGGGAACUGCAUUCGAAACUGGCAGGCUAGAGUCUUGUAGAGGGGGGUAGAAUUCCAGGUGUAGCGGUGAAAUGCGUAGAGAUCUGGAGGAAUACCGGUGGCGAAGGCGGCCCCCUGGACAAAGACUGACGCUCAGGUGCGAAAGCGUGGGGAGCAAACAGGAUUAGAUACCCCAGUAGUC